GAUGAACGCUGGCGGCGUGCCUAAUACAUGCAAGUCGAGCGAACGGACGAGAAGCUUGCUUUUCUGAUGUUAGCGGCGGACGGGAGAGUAACACGUGGAUACCCUACCUGUCAGACUGGGAUAACUUCGGAAAACCGGAGCUAAUACCGGAUAAUAUUUUGAUCCGCAUGGUGCGUAAGUGAAAGACGGUGUUGCUGUCUCUUAUAGCUGGAUCCCGGCUGCAUUAGCUAGUUGGUAAGUUAACGGCUUAUCAAGGCUACUAUGCAUAGCCGACCUGUGAGGGGGGUCGGCCACACGAGAAGGGAACCGCGCUCCAGAGUACUACGGGAGGGAGCAGUAGCGAAUCGUCCGCAAUGGGGGGAAACCUGACGGAACGGCGCCGAGCCAGUGACAAAGGUCUUCGGUGCGUAAAACUGUGUUAUGAGUGGUGAACAUAUUUCUCCGGAAAUGUACAGAUCUUGACGGUACCUGGUCAGAAAGCAACGGCUAACUACGUG
This 497-nucleotide ribosomal RNA is filed under the name uncultured bacterium. RNAcentral describes it as "partial 16S ribosomal RNA". It matches the Rfam family "Bacterial small subunit ribosomal RNA", at positions 28 to 507 of the family's 1533-position model. The record is from RNAcentral.